CUACGGAGGGUGCAAGCGUUAUUCGGAAUCACUGGGCGUAAAGGACGCGUAGGCGGGUUGGCAAGUCAGAUGUGAAAUCCUACAGCUUAACUGUAGAACUGCAUUUGAAACUGCUAACCUAGAGUAUGGGAGGGGGAGAUGGAAUUAGUGGUGUAGGGGUAAAAUCCGUAGAUAUCACUAGGAAUACCAAAAGCGAAGGCAAUCUUCUGGAACACUGCUGACGCUGAGGCGCGAAAGCGUGGGGAGCAAACAGGAUUAGAAACCCUAGUAGUCC
RNAcentral lists this ribosomal RNA (274 nucleotides) under uncultured bacterium. Its description in RNAcentral is "partial 16S ribosomal RNA". It matches the Rfam family "Bacterial small subunit ribosomal RNA", at positions 523 to 796 of the family's 1533-position model. The record is from RNAcentral.